UACGAAGGGGGCUAGCGUUGCUCGGAAUCACUGGGCGUAAAGCGCACGUAGGCGGCUUGUUAAGUCAGGGGUGAAAUCCUGGAGCUCAACUCCAGAACUGCCUUUGAUACUGGCGAGCUUGAGUCCGGGAGAGGUGAGUGGAGCUGCGAGUGUAGAGGUGAAAUUCGUAGAUAUUCGCAAGAACACCAGUGGCGAAGGCGGCUCACUGGCCCGGUACUGACGCUGAGGUGCGAAAGCGUGGGGAGCAAACAGG
Molecule: ribosomal RNA, 253 nt
Filed under: uncultured bacterium
Lineage: Bacteria
Description: partial 16S ribosomal RNA
Rfam family: Bacterial small subunit ribosomal RNA
Source: RNAcentral